AUACAGAGGGUGCAAGCGUUAAUCGGAUUUACUGGGCGUAAAGCGCACGUAGGUGGCUAAUUAAGUCAAAUGUGAAAUCCCCGAGCUUAACUUGGGAAUUGCAUUCGAUACUGGUUAGCUAGAGUAUGGGAGAGGAUGGUAGAAUUCCAGGUGUAGCGGUGAAAUGCGUAGAGAUCUGGAGGAAUACCGAUGGCGAAGGCAGCCAUCUGGCCUAAUACGGACACUGGGGUGCGAAAGCAUGGGGAGCAAACGGGAUUAGAUACCCUGGUAGUCCAUGCCGUAAACGAUGUCUACUAGCCGUUGGGGCCCUUGAGGCUUUAGUGGCGCAGCUAACGCGAUAAGUAGACCGCUUGGGGAGUACGGUCGCAAGACUAAAACUCAAAUGAAUUGACGGGG
RNAcentral lists this ribosomal RNA (396 nucleotides) under uncultured bacterium. RNAcentral's name for it is "partial 16S ribosomal RNA". It matches the Rfam family "Bacterial small subunit ribosomal RNA", at positions 523 to 918 of the family's 1533-position model. The record is from RNAcentral.